UAAAUGAAGCCAAACAGAGGCUUAUCACUGUUAAUGAUAGAAUUGGACUAAAUCCCAUUUAG
Molecule: transfer RNA, 62 nt
Filed under: Isonychia sp. XL-2019
Lineage: Eukaryota; Metazoa; Arthropoda; Insecta; Ephemeroptera; Isonychiidae
Description: tRNA-Asn
Source: RNAcentral